This 230-nucleotide long non-coding RNA is filed under the name Solanum tuberosum (potato). RNAcentral's name for it is "long non-coding RNA (STUB_LNC010531)". Lineage: Eukaryota; Viridiplantae; Streptophyta; Magnoliopsida; Solanales; Solanaceae. The record is from RNAcentral.
CACAAUAUUAGCACACUAACCCAAAAAAUAGCAAUUAAAAAUGCGUAUUAUUUUCAAAAUUAGUUCCUUAUAGUGUUGAAACUGAAAGGUAUUAUUGUCAAAAUGUUGAUUUUGAUUAUGGUAUAAAAUUAACUUUUGAUAUAAAAAGGUUUGUGUCUUUGUAAAUUUUUUAACGAAUUUCUGUAUAAAAUGGUACAUAUUAAGGUAUUUUGUUGGAUUAAAAUAUGGUG